This 433-nucleotide transfer-messenger RNA is filed under the name Candidatus Dojkabacteria. Its description in RNAcentral is "JAJTYI01 sp020429395 Standard tmRNA". It matches the Rfam family "transfer-messenger RNA". From Rfam's summary of the family: Bacterial tmRNA, also known as 10Sa RNA or SsrA, is named for its dual tRNA and mRNA-like properties. Its role is to liberate the mRNA from a stalled ribosome. The record is from RNAcentral. RNAcentral also lists the same sequence under 1 other name.
GGGGAUGAUCGGCUUCGACAGAUGAUGACCGUGAUUUACCGCAAGCCGAAGUGCUUUAUCCUGCCACUUCGUUAAAAACGGGAGGAUAUUCCGAGCAAUCGGAAAUUGACUUAAGCGUCAAAACCAAAAUUCAAGGCUUCGUUGAUAGAGUAGUAGCAUUUUUCAAUGUCGAACCUCAAUUCAACUUUGCUGUUGCUUAAUUAAUUAAGCAACCUUCUCAUUCUCUCCUCACUUGGCGGGAGGCUUGGGGAGAAACUUAGUCAAGUUGCAGGUUUAAAGUUUGAUUUAUGCUUAGAACCGAAGCACUUAUAAAUCAAAGCAGUUUGGCUUUUGUUGAUUUUAAUCAAACUGUUUCAACUCAAAUCAACUAAGCUUGUAGUAUGUAGAUCGCAGUAUCGUUUGGACGCGGGUUCGAUUCCCGCCAUCUCCAUUG